CUGAACUGUUAACACGAGUUGUUGCUGGUCCUCAAAUGGGGGCAUGUGCACGCUCUGUUUACAUACCCACUCACACCUGUGCACCCUCUGUAGUUCUGUGGUGUGGGGGACCCUGUCUUCCCACUGUGGUUCUAUGUCUUUACACACACACAGUGAUAAAGUCUUAUGGAAUGUACAUCGCGUUUAACGCAAUAUAAUA
Molecule: unclassified non-coding RNA, 199 nt
Filed under: uncultured Tomentella
Lineage: Eukaryota; Fungi; Basidiomycota; Agaricomycetes; Thelephorales; Thelephoraceae
Description: sequence contains ITS1
Source: RNAcentral